This 580-nucleotide ribosomal RNA is filed under the name Vibrio parahaemolyticus. Its description in RNAcentral is "partial 23S ribosomal RNA". It matches the Rfam family "Bacterial large subunit ribosomal RNA", at positions 2200 to 2779 of the family's 2925-position model. The record is from RNAcentral. Lineage: Bacteria; Pseudomonadati; Pseudomonadota; Gammaproteobacteria; Vibrionales; Vibrionaceae.
CCACCCUUGUAGUGUUGAUGUUCUAACGUCGACCCCUUAUCGGGGUUGCGGACAGUGCCUGGUGGGUAGUUUGACUGGGGCGGUCUCCUCCCAAAGAGUAACGGAGGAGCACGAAGGUGGGCUAAUCACGGUUGGACAUCGUGAGGUUAGUGCAAUGGCAUAAGCCCGCUUGACUGCGAGAAUGACAAUUCGAGCAGGUGCGAAAGCAGGUCAUAGUGAUCCGGUGGUUCUGAAUGGAAGGGCCAUCGCUCAACGGAUAAAAGGUACUCCGGGGAUAACAGGCUGAUACCGCCCAAGAGUUCAUAUCGACGGCGGUGUUUGGCACCUCGAUGUCGGCUCAUCACAUCCUGGGGCUGAAGUCGGUCCCAAGGGUAUGGCUGUUCGCCAUUUAAAGUGGUACGCGAGCUGGGUUUAGAACGUCGUGAGACAGUUCGGUCCCUAUCUGCCGUGGGCGUUGGAAGAUUGAAGGGGGCUGCUCCUAGUACGAGAGGACCGGAGUGGACGAACCUCUGGUGUUCGGGUUGUGUCGCCAGACGCAUUGCCCGGUAGCUAAGUUCGGAAUCGAUAACCGCUGAAAGCA